UACGUAGGGCGCAAGCGUUAUCCGGAAUUAUUGGAGCGUAAAGAGCUCGUAGGCGGUUUGUCGCGUCUGCCGUGAAAGUCCGGGGCUCAACUCCGGAUCUGCGGUGGGUACGGGCAGACUAGAGUGAUGUAGGGGAGACUGGAAUUCCUGGUGUAGCGGUGAAAUGCGCAGAUAUCAGGAGGAACACCGAUGGCGAAGGCAGGUCUCUGGCAUUAACUG
This 219-nucleotide ribosomal RNA is filed under the name uncultured bacterium. RNAcentral's name for it is "partial 16S ribosomal RNA". It matches the Rfam family "Bacterial small subunit ribosomal RNA", at positions 524 to 742 of the family's 1533-position model. The record is from RNAcentral.